Molecule: ribosomal RNA, 404 nt
Filed under: uncultured Oscillospiraceae bacterium
Lineage: Bacteria; Bacillati; Bacillota; Clostridia; Eubacteriales; Oscillospiraceae
Description: bacterial SSU rRNA
Rfam family: Bacterial small subunit ribosomal RNA
Source: RNAcentral
AGUGGGGAAUAUUGCACAAUGGGGGAAACCCUGAUGCAGCAACGCCGCGUGAAGGAUGAAGGUUUUCGGAUUGUAAACUUCUUUAGUCGGGGACGAAGAAAUGACGGUACCCGAAGAAUAAGCCACGGCUAACUACGUGCCAGCAGCCGCGGUAAUACGUAGGUGGCGAGCGUUGUCCGGAAUUACUGGGUGUAAAGGGCGUGUAGGCGGGUAUGCAAGUCAGAUGUGAAAUUCCAGGGCUCAACCCUGGCGCUGCAUCUGAAACUGCGUAUCUUGAGUGCUGGAGAGGGAAGCGGAAUUCCUAGUGUAGCGGUGAAAUGCGUAGAUAUUAGGAGGAACACCAGUGGCGAAGGCGGCUUUCUGGACAGUAACUGACGCUGAGGCGCGAAAGCGUGGGGAGCAAA